CAGUCUGCUCUGCUCCGGCUGCGCGCUGUCCGCGGACUGGGUGCUGGAGACCGAGGACACGCUGGAGCUCCGCACGAAGCCAAACGCCGCCAGCUUGGCUGCUGGGAGACGUGAUAUCCCCAGAACAAUGAAAGUAUCCCCAUAUAUCAGAUACCACCUUCACAGUACAAGCACAGGUAUCCUACAACUUGAGGCACUGCAGACCCAAUGAAUGUUUCAAGUUGUUUCACUACAGUAUGGUUACGAGUGGUAUUGCUGGGUGAGGAACGUUCUGCAAAUUUGGCAAACAUAUGCUGUCCUAUGACCACCACCAGCACAGUCAAACAAAACGAACACUUCCACGAACUCCAAAAAUUGCCCCAAGCCGUUUUGUAAAUCAACCAUUCCCUGAUCCCUAGUCCCUGCCAACCAAUAAUCCGGUCUCUGUUCCUAGGUUUUGCCUUUUCCAGAAUGUCAAUUAAAUGUAACUACACAGUGUGAAGCCUUUGUAUCCAGCUUCUUUCGGCACCGUGCAUCUGAGAUUCAUCACGGUGUUGUGUCUAUCCGUAGUUGUUCCCUUUUAUGGCUAAAUAAGGCUCUGUGCUACGAACCACAGUUUAUGUAGCUGUCUUCCAGUUGAGGGACACUGAGGUACUUCCAGGUUUGGGCAACUAUAAAGAAAGAUACUAGAACAUUCACGUACCAGUGUUUGCAUGAAACUGGGCCACUCUGGGGAGUUCCAAAACGCUAAGCCAGACAGAAUGCCAUGACACCAAGCAUGAACUGUACAUAUGGUCACUCUGCUUAGAACACACUUCUCACCACCCAAGGUUAUCUGAUCCUUGUCCUUGUACCCAUUUAUUAUCUGCCUUUCCGCAUCCCAUAUAAGCUGUGGGAGGGCAGGCACCUCCUCCUCUGUUCGCCACUCUAUUCUAGAGCCUAGAACAGUAGCUGGCCUGUGGUAGGAACUCAAAAGCAUUUUUUAACUGAAUACAGUUCGCUCAACCCUGGGAAUUUGUUUUCAAUACCUAAAUGACACUUUCUCUUACCAGGUGCUGUUUUCAGUGUUUUGUUGCACUUAAUCCAUAACAAUCCCAGGGCUAGAUAUUAUCGUUUUACACAGCGAGGCAGAGAGAAGUGAAAUAACUUCUGAGCGUAAGUGCAAAGGGCUGGACUCUGAACCCCCAGGCGGGCUCUUAAGCCACCAUGCCAAGCUUCGGUGGAAUCGUCAGCUUUUAAACUUGAUAGGGUGUAAAAAGCCUUAUUAUUUUGUUACUUUACCUCUAGUAAAGUUACAUUUCAUACGCUGUUUGGCCAUCUGCAUUUCUUCUCUUACACUGUGUGUCUCUGAAGCGAAAAUAUUUUUAACGGUAGACAUGGGAGACAAGGUAUUUCCAGAAUGCAGGUGAUAUCGAGAGAGAAUGAGAUAAUCGUGUUUAAGGACCUGUUCCAGAGAACGAGGGCCAGACAGGAGACCUCUUGGCCACGGCCCGCCUCGCAACGCCCAUCCCAGCUCUCCCAAGGCUCCUCUUUUUGGAUUAUUGGUUCUGUCAUCUACCUCACCACCAAAGCUGAAACUAAGAGCUUCCUUGGCCCUUUUAACUCACACCCCACCCACCGGUGAGGGCUAUCGGAUGGGCUUCCCAAGGGCAUCACCAGCCCACCCACUUUUCUCCCUCUCUGCCUCCACAUCAUCUCCCACAUAAGCCACUUAUAAGUCUCCUUCCAGAUCUCCUGGCUUCCAAUCUUGCUUCUCUAAUGAGCCAUUUUCCCUUCACAAGGCAUCUAGAGUGGUAUCUUGUCAUGGUAAUGGUCACUUCAUGGCCACAAACCCUCCCAUGGCCUCCUUGCUGGGACCUGUGUGGCCCUGCGAAAUCUCCCCUCGCCCCCUCCUCCCCUGGAAGCCUGCCCACUGACUCCGCAUUUGUUCUUCACUGCUUGCACACUCCAUGCCUGGCUCUUCACAUGGACGGACCCAUCCUACAUAUCAGGGGUCAUCUUGAACGUGCCCUCCCCAGACAAACUUUCCUUGAGGUGCAUCGUCUUUCCCCGGCCACAGUCUGUGCUUCUUCCCCAGCCUUCUUCCGUUAUUCUCCAUGUUUAUUUGUUCAUUGUCUUCCUCUUCCAGUAGGACAUGAGCUCCGUGAGGAUAAGCAAGGGUCGCAUCCGCCCUGCUCACCAUCGAUCCCCAGUGAGCGGAACGGUGUCCAACAACUUCAGGCACUCACUAAAUAUUGUUGAAUUAAUACAGUAGCACACGGAAUCUCUCCUAACUUACUUGGCUCUCUGGAUAACGCCUUGCUGAGCAUAUAUCCGUCACAGAAAGUCACUGAGUAUUUGAGAUAGAAAGGAACAGAGACAUGAAUUAUGUCAAGCCUCUCGUUUUACACGAGGAGGAUGAAGCCCAGGGAGACUCGGGCCGAGUCCGCCAGCUGAGACCUGUCACAGCCACACGGGGGCCGGGCGCCCAUGCCAAGACUAGCACUUGGCCCCUUCCGCAGACCGUGGACUCCCCCAGACAGCCUCGCAUGUUAGGAAGAUAAGAGAAAAAAAGGUUACGUGGGGACAGGACUCAAAGGGCUCUGCGACAGACCCAACUGAGCAUCAACUGAUACAAAACACAGUACAGGAACAAUUAAAAGAUGAGUAAAAGAAAAGUCUGGGGGCGCCUGGGCGGCUCAGUCAGUUAAGCGUCCGACUUUGGCUCAGGUCAUGAUCUCGCGGUCCAUGAGUUCAAGCCCCGC
This is a long non-coding RNA of Acinonyx jubatus (cheetah), 2723 nucleotides long. RefSeq lists it as uncharacterized. Lineage: Eukaryota; Metazoa; Chordata; Mammalia; Carnivora; Felidae. The record is from RefSeq and is a predicted model, not a curated record. The transcript has 4 exons.